UGGCGGACGGGUGAGUAACACGUGAGCAACCUGGCUCUAAGAGGGGGACAACAGUUGGAAACGACUGCUAAUACCGCAUAACGUAUCGGGAUGGCAUCUUCCUGAUACCAAAGAUUUUAUCGCUUAGAGAUGGGCUCGCGUCUGAUUAGAUAGUUGGCGGGGUAACGGCCCACCAAGUCGACGAUCAGUAGCCGGACUGAGAGGUUGAACGGCCACAUUGGGACCGAGACACGGCCCAGACUCCUACGGGAGGCAGCAUG
RNAcentral lists this ribosomal RNA (260 nucleotides) under uncultured bacterium. RNAcentral's name for it is "partial 16S ribosomal RNA". It matches the Rfam family "Bacterial small subunit ribosomal RNA", at positions 96 to 353 of the family's 1533-position model. The record is from RNAcentral.